RNAcentral lists this long non-coding RNA (221 nucleotides) under Sus scrofa (pig). Its description in RNAcentral is "lncRNA (ENSSSCG00070028279.1)". Lineage: Eukaryota; Metazoa; Chordata; Mammalia; Artiodactyla; Suidae. The record is from RNAcentral.
GUUCCCGGCGCCUGCCCCGCCCCGUCCUCCGCUCCCCACAGCCGGAGCCGGAGCCGGAGGAAGCCCCCCAGUGCCAAGAUCUGCCCCGGAUCCAGUUUUCCCGUGUAUCUCUCGAGAGAGUGGAAGACGCGUUUUUGAUUCCUGGAGUCUCUACUUUUUGAGGCCUCGAUUCGCAGAGCCUUAAUUCUUCUUGCACCUUAUGCCCAGUUGGAUCCUCACAG